UACAGAGGGUGCGAGCGUUAAUCGGAAUUACUGGGCGUAAAGGGCGCGUAGGCGGAUAUAUAAGUUAUGUGUGAAAUCUCUGGGCUUAACCUGGGAACUGCACAUAAUACUGUAUGUCUAGAGUAGAGUAGAGGAAAGUGGAAUUUCCGGUGUAGCGGUGAAAUGCGUAGAUAUCGGAAGGAACACCAGUGGCGAAGGCGGCUUUCUGGACUCAUACUGACGCUGAGGCGCGAAAGCGUGGGGAGCAAACAGG
Molecule: ribosomal RNA, 253 nt
Filed under: uncultured bacterium
Lineage: Bacteria
Description: partial 16S ribosomal RNA
Rfam family: Bacterial small subunit ribosomal RNA
Source: RNAcentral